UACGUAGGGUGCGAGCGUUAAUCGGAAUUACUGGGCGUAAAGCGUGCGCAGGCGGUCUGUUAAGACAGGUGUGAAAUCCCCGGGCUUAACCUGGGAAUGGCGCUUGUUACUGGCAGACUAGAGUGCGUCAGAGGGGGGUGGAAUUCCACGUGUAGCAGUGAAAUGCGUAGAGAUGUGGAGGAACACCGAUGGCGAAGGCAGCCCCCUGGGAUGACACUGACGCUCAUACACGAAAGCGUGGGGAGCAAACAGG
RNAcentral lists this ribosomal RNA (253 nucleotides) under uncultured bacterium. Its description in RNAcentral is "partial 16S ribosomal RNA". It matches the Rfam family "Bacterial small subunit ribosomal RNA", at positions 524 to 776 of the family's 1533-position model. The record is from RNAcentral.